Molecule: ribosomal RNA, 222 nt
Filed under: Salmonella enterica subsp. enterica serovar Infantis
Lineage: Bacteria; Pseudomonadati; Pseudomonadota; Gammaproteobacteria; Enterobacterales; Enterobacteriaceae
Also listed under: 3 other names
Description: partial 23S ribosomal RNA
Rfam family: Bacterial large subunit ribosomal RNA
Source: RNAcentral
GGGUUGUGAGGUUAAGCGACUAAGCGUACACGGUGGAUGCCCUGGCAGUCAGAGGCGAUGAAGGACGUGCUAAUCUGCGAUAAGCGCCGGUAAGGUGAUAUGAACCGUUAUAACCGGCGAUUUCCGAAUGGGGAAACCCAGUGUGACUCGUCACACUAUCAUUAACUGAAUCCAUAGGUUAAUGAGGCGAACCGGGGGAACUGAAACAUCUAAGUACCCCGA